UGGCGGACGGGUGAGUAACGCGUGGGUAACCGUGCCUCACACUGGGGGACAACAGUUAGAAAUGACUGCUAAUACCGCAUAAGCGCACAGGACCGCAUGGUCCGGUGUGAAAAACUCCGGUGGUGUGAGAUGGACCCGCGUUUGAUUAGCUAGUUGGUGGGGUAACGGCCUACCAAGGCGACGAUCAAUAGCCGACCUGAGAGGGUGACCGGCCACAUUGGGACUGAGACACGGCCCGA
This 239-nucleotide ribosomal RNA is filed under the name uncultured bacterium. RNAcentral describes it as "partial 16S ribosomal RNA". It matches the Rfam family "Bacterial small subunit ribosomal RNA", at positions 96 to 334 of the family's 1533-position model. The record is from RNAcentral.